UGAGUAACCUGCCCUUAACUCUGGGAUAAGCCUGGGAAACUGGGUCUAAUACCGGAUAUGACUCCUCAUCGCAUGGGUGGGGGGGUGGAAAGCUUUAUUGUGGUUUUGGAUGGACUCGCGGCCUAUCAGCUUGUUGGUGAGGUAAUGGCUCACCAAGGCGACGACGGGUAGCCGGCCUGAGAGGGUGACCGGCCACACGUGGGACUGAGACACGGCCCAGACUCCGUACGGGAGCAG
Molecule: ribosomal RNA, 237 nt
Filed under: uncultured bacterium
Lineage: Bacteria
Description: partial 16S ribosomal RNA
Rfam family: Bacterial small subunit ribosomal RNA
Source: RNAcentral